Long non-coding RNA from Oncorhynchus tshawytscha (Chinook salmon), 1153 nucleotides. NCBI's taxonomy places the organism in Eukaryota, Metazoa, Chordata, Actinopteri, Salmoniformes, Salmonidae. The record is from Ensembl.
GGAAGGAGAGCGGGGGAAGAGGCUGCUCCACCUCUAUGAACAGCUAUAAAGAACUAGUCUCGGCUUGAGGAUCAGCAGUACUCUGGAGCAACCUUGAUAUGAACUAGUGUAAGGAAUGUCACGCUGUUUGCUUAGCAAGCACCGCUUCCCCGUUGAUCAGCUCAACUCAAGACCACAAACGUGACCAUCCUCGUGAAGCGUUCCAACCCAUUGGGCCAUUGGAAAAAGGCCUUCUUCAACAGCACAAAGGGCGACACACAGGCUGAGGAGUGAGUUUCACAGAUCCUCAUGGGUUACAAGAGCAUAAACAAGCCAUGGUUUACACACAUACUGUAGAUGUAUUAACACACACACACAUUAAAUCAGCCAGCUGAAAAUGCUGUCAGAGCAGCUCACAGAUCACUACACCUGUACAUAGCCCAUCUGCAAACAGCCCAUCUAUCUACCUACCUCCUCCCCGACCAGAGAGAGGACCACCGUCCUGCAGCCCUGCUGAGCUCCAGAGAGGCAGGAAGUGGAGGCGGGGCCAGGCCAGGGACUAACAUGAUCACAUCAACCCCAUUAGGAGGGUCCCACGUGGGGCCGGGCCGAGGGGGAGAGGGCAGCGCACACAAAGAGGUGCACUGUUCUCUCCCUCGGCUGGGUGAAAGAGCUGCCGCAUGCCAAUGUAAAAAUGAACUUAGGGGCUAAUCAGAGACAGCAGCCCCAUGCACUUUCCCACUGAAGUAUAGAUGAUGAUGCAUAUUUAAACUAUGUGGCCAGCGACUGUGGUUUCCUUUGGCAUAAUGCGUUGAGGGAGUGAGUGAGGCACAGCUGCAGCCAGGGGACAGAGGAGAGGUCUGGAGCUGAAGCUGUGGUGGGAGACCAGAGGGAAAACCCCACUGGGAUUGUUUGCAGACACACUGUACCUCCAGUAACUUUGUUCAGGGACGUAGUGUUCCAAGGCAUAGAAACACACCGUUAGUAGAAAAACAAUUCUUAGGAUUUGUGGGAUAUCAGAGUAGGCCUACUAUGUUAUUUCCCCUAUGCUUCUUAUGAUUAAAUAAGACAGAUGAGGAUCAUUUAUCUUUCGCAGUUAUGCUGGCUAAACAUGAAACCAGGGAAAAGGCACUGUUGUCGAGUAAUCAGUUAUGGUUUAAUAAAGCAAUCAACA